GGUCCGGUAGCUCAGUCGGAUAGAGCACCUGCCUUCUAAGCAGGUGGUCGCGGGUUCGAUCCCCGCCCGGACUACCA
This 77-nucleotide transfer RNA is filed under the name Lentisphaeria bacterium. Its description in RNAcentral is "tRNA-Arg". It matches the Rfam family "tRNA". Rfam says of the family: Transfer RNA (tRNA) molecules are approximately 80 nucleotides in length. Their secondary structure includes four short double-helical elements and three loops (D, anti-codon, and T loops). Further hydrogen bonds mediate the characteristic L-shaped molecular structure. tRNAs have two regions of fundamental functional importance: the anti-codon, which is responsible for specific mRNA codon recognition, and the 3' end, to which the tRNAs corresponding amino acid is attached (by aminoacyl-tRNA synthetases). tRNAs cope with the degeneracy of the genetic code in two manners: having more than one tRNA (with a specific anti-codon) for a particular amino acid; and 'wobble' base-pairing, i.e. permitting non-standard base-pairing at the 3rd anti-codon position. The record is from RNAcentral. Lineage: Bacteria; Pseudomonadati; Lentisphaerota; Lentisphaeria.